Molecule: non-coding RNA, 732 nt
Organism: Mustela erminea (ermine)
Lineage: Eukaryota; Metazoa; Chordata; Mammalia; Carnivora; Mustelidae
Source: the annotation of a RefSeq genome assembly
UCUACACAGUAGGGGUGAAGGCACCUCAUUAACUAGACAAAGAAUUAUGAGGAGACACUGGGGAGCUCUGCUGGGAAUCCUGUGGCUCCAGGUUUGCUGGGUGAGAGGGAUGACGGUGGAGCAGAGUCCUUCAGCCCUGAGUCUCCAGGAGGGAGCCAGCUCUACUAUCAAGUGCAAUUUUUCUAGCACAGUAUACAGUGUGCAGUGGUUCCGACAGUACCCCGGGGGCGGCGGCCUCACCAGGCUGUUUUAUAUAACUUCAGGGAUGCAGCACAGUGGAAGGUUAAACUGCACAGUGAAUACUAAGGAACAGUCCAGCACCCUCCACAUCACGGCUUCCCGACUGGAAGACUCAGCCACCUACCUAUGUGCAGCCCAGGCAUAGUGGUCUCUGGUGAUCUGCAGCCUGCACCCAAACUGCACCUGGGCCUGCAGACCCGCCCUUCCUGGGGGCGGGCCCUUGCUUCCAUGCAGCCUUUGCAGAUUUUCAGAUUUAUGUAACAGUGUCUUUUCCCUCCUAAAAUUAGACCUACCGAUGCUCUCAUUUCCCUUGCUUUUCUUGCACUUCUUUUUCCAAAAAGCUCUUCGCAGGUAAAAAGCUCUACCAUGGAACCUUUGGAACAAGUGACAGAGAUGCCCAUAUCCAGUACCCUGGGAAGACAGAUGUCCUUGCAGCUACCAUAUAAAUUAUAUAUAAAUUACUUAAAUGGAAAAUCCUAAAAAAAAAAAAUA